Long non-coding RNA from Eleginops maclovinus (Patagonian blennie), 599 nucleotides. RefSeq lists it as uncharacterized. The record is from RefSeq and is a predicted model, not a curated record. The transcript is spliced from 4 exons. NCBI's taxonomy places the organism in Eukaryota, Metazoa, Chordata, Actinopteri, Perciformes, Eleginopidae.
AAAUAAUGACGCAGUUUUCUUAAAGGGCCAGCAACACGUUGCUUCAGAUGCAAGUUCUGGAGAAAAAGUUUGUAGAGAAUGAUAGUUUUUUUUUAAAAAAUUACUCCAAAUAUGAAAUUCAACGCAGUCCGACUUUUACAUUUUCGGAAUAUUAUUUUGAAACAGCAUUUCCUGGAACAAACCUUUUAUUCCCAUUGUAUGCUUUCAGCCAUGCUCCUUGUCCUUCCCUCAUUAAUUAGGAUAAUUUAGGGCACCUGCUAGCAUUGAUUUAAAUAAACUGAAAGCAGGUGCAACAUUGAAAUCUAGAGAUUACAGGGCAUCAAAUAACGUUAUAGUCAUGGAUUCGAACACAGAAGGCACCCUGGCCCUGCAGACAGAUGAGGCCAUGGCACUGGACAAACAGGCCCAGGAGGAUGUCAGCGACAGACUGGUGACCCUGUCUGAUAAGCUUAACAUAUGCAACCAACUCCUGAAGGACCUCAAAGAACUAAGCGACAUCCUAGUGAGGAAAUCUCUCCAGGAUGUGACCCUACCUCAGCAGGAGUGACCUGAAGUGAAACGCUAUUUUCUUUUUAAUAAUAAAUAAAUAAAACCAUCAA